GUGCACCAGGCGCGAAACCUCCGCAAUACACGAAAGUGUGACGGGGCCAUCCCGAGUGCCGUCCGCUGAGGACGGCUUUUCCCCAGUGUACAUAGCUGGGGGAAUAAGGAGAGGGCAAGCCUGGUGUCAGCCGCCGCGGUAAUACCAGCUCUCCGAGUGGUGGGGACGCUUAUUGGGCCUAAAGCAUCCGUAGCCGGCUGGGCAAGUCCUCCGUUAAAUCCAACGAUUCAAUCGUUGGGCUGCGGGGGAUACUGUCCAGCUUGGGGGCGGGAGAGGCCGACGGUAUUCCCGGGGUAGGGGUGGAAAUCCUAUAAUCCCGGGAGGACCACCAGUGGCGAAGGCUGUCGGCUAGAACGCGCCCGACGGUGA
Molecule: ribosomal RNA, 369 nt
Filed under: uncultured microorganism
Description: bacterial SSU rRNA
Rfam family: Archaeal small subunit ribosomal RNA
Source: RNAcentral